UUUAUGGAGAGUUUGAUCCUGGCUCAGGAUGAACGCUGGCGGCGUGCCUAAUACAUGCAAGUCGAGCGAACAGACGAGGAGCUUGC
Molecule: ribosomal RNA, 86 nt
Filed under: Staphylococcus epidermidis
Lineage: Bacteria; Bacillati; Bacillota; Bacilli; Caryophanales; Staphylococcaceae
Also listed under: 3 other names
Description: partial 16S ribosomal RNA
Rfam family: Bacterial small subunit ribosomal RNA
Source: RNAcentral